GACAGAGGGUGCAAACGUUGUUCGGAAUCACUGGGCGUAAAGCGCGUGUAGGCGGCACGGCAUGUCGGAUGUGAAAUCCCAUGGCUCAACCAUGGAAGUGCACCCGAAACUGCCGAGCUCGAGUCUCGGAGAGGAAGGUGGAAUGCUUGGUGUAGAGGUGAAAUUCGUAGAUAUCUGGAGGAACACCGGUGGCGAAGGCGGCAUCCUGGACCGAUACUGACGCUGAGGAGCGAAAGCCAGGGGAGCAAACGGG
This 253-nucleotide ribosomal RNA is filed under the name uncultured bacterium. RNAcentral describes it as "partial 16S ribosomal RNA". It matches the Rfam family "Bacterial small subunit ribosomal RNA", at positions 524 to 776 of the family's 1533-position model. The record is from RNAcentral.